Molecule: ribosomal RNA, 960 nt
Filed under: Clostridioides difficile
Lineage: Bacteria; Bacillati; Bacillota; Clostridia; Peptostreptococcales; Peptostreptococcaceae
Description: bacterial LSU rRNA
Rfam family: Bacterial large subunit ribosomal RNA
Source: RNAcentral
AUUCCUUGUCGGGUAAGUUCCGACCCGCACGAAAGGCGUAACGAUUUGGGCACUGUCUCAACAACAGACUCGGUGAAAUUGUAAUUCCGGUGAAGAUGCCGGAUACCUGCGACAGGACGGAAAGACCCCAUGGAGCUUUACUGUAGCUUGACAUUGGGUCUUGGUACUACAUGUACAGGAUAGGUGGGAGGCUUUGAAACCAGGACGCCAGUUUUGGCGGAGCCAUCCUUGGGAUACCACCCUUGUAGUACUGGGACUCUAACCAUAGGCCAUGAAUCUGGUCUUGGGACACUGUCAGGUGGGCAGUUUGACUGGGGCGGUCGCCUCCCAAAAGGUAACGGAGGCGCUCAAAGGUUCUCUCAGUACGGUCGGAAAUCGUACGUAGAGUGUAAAGGCAAAAGAGAGCUUGAUUGCAAGACAUACAGGUCGAGCAAGGAUGAAAAUCGGACUUAGUGAUCCGGUGGUUCUGCGUGGAAGGGCCAUCGCUCAACGGAUAAAAGCUACCCUGGGGAUAACAGGCUUAUCUCCCCCAAGAGUCCACAUCGACGGGGAGGUUUGGCACCUCGAUGUCGGCUCAUCACAUCCUGGGGCUGUAGUAGGUCCCAAGGGUUGGGCUGUUCGCCCAUUAAAGUGGUACGCGAGCUGGGUUCAGAACGUCGUGAGACAGUUCGGUCCCUAUCCGUCGCAGGCGUAGGAAAUUUGAGAAGACCUGUCCUUAGUACGAGAGGACCGGGAUGGACGUACCUCUGGUGUACAAGUUGUCCUGCCAAGGGCAUGGCUGGGUAGCUAUGUACGGAAUGGAUAAGCGCUGAAAGCAUCUAAGCGCGAAGCCAACUUCAAGAUAAGAUUUCCCACCGCAAGGGUAAGACCCCAGAAAGACUAUCUGGUUGAUAGGUCGAAGGUGUAAGUGCAGCAAUGUAUUUAGCUUAUCGAUGCUAAUAGGUCGAGGACUUGACCAAU